AGACAAGAAACUUUCCGAGGAAUAUUUCAACAGUCGCAAGCAUCAAUCGACGGUCCCCUUCAUUCAUUUUGUGAACACAUUAAAUCGGUGCUUGAAUCAUUGUCGCCUUCUCUACAGGUAGAAGCCAAAAGGGAUAUUUAUAAUACCGUCAGUAAGUACGAAUUACUAGCAGUCCAAAGUAAGCACUCCGUUUCCACGGGAGAGUCCUCUAUCAGUACAUACAGAUAUGUCAAAUUCUAAUCCUUUUAACUCUCCACCGAUUCAGUCCCCAGAAAGUUUUUUACCGACCCAAACUAGCACCGAUUGUCCGCAAGGAGCUGAAGAUAAAGCUGAUGAUGAAAUAGAUUUUGAAUCAGUACUUUUAAAGUUGUAAAUUACAAUAGCGUUUAGACUUAAAUUGUAAAAACUUACCUUAAUGUGAUAAAAAGUUUUUCUUCUGGA
Long non-coding RNA from Anthonomus grandis grandis, 441 nucleotides. RefSeq lists it as uncharacterized. The record is from RefSeq and is a predicted model, not a curated record. NCBI's taxonomy places the organism in Eukaryota, Metazoa, Arthropoda, Insecta, Coleoptera, Curculionidae. The transcript is spliced from 2 exons.